Molecule: ribosomal RNA, 468 nt
Filed under: uncultured bacterium
Lineage: Bacteria
Description: partial 16S ribosomal RNA
Rfam family: Bacterial small subunit ribosomal RNA
Source: RNAcentral
GACGAACGCUGGCGGCGUGCUUAACACAUGCAAGUCGAACGGAAAGGCCCUGCUUUUGUGGGGUGCUCGAUUGGCGAAGGGGUGAGUAACACGUGAGUAACCUGCCCUUGACUUUGGGAUAACUUCAGGAAACUGGGGCUAAUACCGGAUAGAAGCUCCUGCUGCAUGGUGGGGGUUGGAAAGUUUCGGCGGUUGGGGAUGGACGCGCGGCUUAUCAGCUUGUUGGUGGGGUAGUGGCUUACCAAGGCUUUGACGGGUAGCCGGCCUGAGAGGGUGACCGGCCACAUUGGGACUGAGAGACGGACCAGACGCCUACGGGAGGCAGCAGUGGGGAAUAUUGCACAACGGGCGGAAGCCUGAGGCAGCAACGCCGCGUGCGUGAUGACGGCUUUCGGGUUGUAAACCGCUUUCGCCUGUGACGAAGCGUGAGUGACGGUAAUGGGUAAAGAAGCACCGGCUAACUACGUG